Small nuclear RNA from Ursus americanus (American black bear), 107 nucleotides. NCBI's taxonomy places the organism in Eukaryota, Metazoa, Chordata, Mammalia, Carnivora, Ursidae. The record is from Ensembl.
GUGCUCUCCUUGACAGCACAUACACUAAAAUUGGAACAGUACAGAGAAGAUUAGCGUGACCCCUGCAUAGGGAUAACAUGCAAAUUCAUGAAGCAUUGCAUAAGGAA